Long non-coding RNA from Sorghum bicolor (sorghum), 412 nucleotides. RefSeq lists it as uncharacterized. The record is from RefSeq and is a predicted model, not a curated record. NCBI's taxonomy places the organism in Eukaryota, Viridiplantae, Streptophyta, Magnoliopsida, Poales, Poaceae. The transcript is spliced from 4 exons.
ACCAAAUGAAGCUCCGAUGACACCACCGAUCAGUGCUGUUGCAGAAGUGCUCUUGGAGCCCAUGGAUGCCGGCCUUUUUCCAUGAUCGUCCCCAAGGAGAAUUGCUGCUGCCUCGUCGACCCGUUGUCCUCGCAGCGAUGUCAUCACCACCGGCUACCGCUGACCCACACCAAACAGCAAGUUGCCUCAACCGUCAGUGUCCCUAUCGUCACCAUUCUGCUACUGGCUGCCAUCAACUUGAUCAUCAGCUGCUAUAAUUUCCCAAUGUUUAUGUAUGAUGCUUGUGCUGGUUGCUAUCGAUGUUAUAGUGGAGCUACACGAGGAGCAGAUAUUCGAAAAGUGGAACCAUCAACAAGUGUUUGAAAGGCAAGUGUAACAUGAGUUCCCUUGUUACCUAAUAACCAUUUAAUCA